This 417-nucleotide ribosomal RNA is filed under the name Paraclostridium sordellii. Its description in RNAcentral is "bacterial SSU rRNA". It matches the Rfam family "Bacterial small subunit ribosomal RNA", at positions 1 to 428 of the family's 1533-position model. The record is from RNAcentral. Lineage: Bacteria; Bacillati; Bacillota; Clostridia; Peptostreptococcales; Peptostreptococcaceae.
UAUAUUUGAGAGUUUGAUCCUGGCUCAGGAUGAACGCUGGCGGCGUGCCUAACACAUGCAAGUCGAGCGAACCCUUCGGGGUGAGCGGCGGACGGGUGAGUAACGCGUGGGUAACCUGCCCUGUACACACGGAUAACAUACCGAAAGGUAUGCUAAUACGGGAUAACAUAUGAGAGUCGCAUGGCUUUUGUAUCAAAGCUCCGGCGGUACAGGAUGGACCCGCGUCUGAUUAGCUAGUUGGUAAGGUAACGGCUUACCAAGGCAACGAUCAGUAGCCGACCUGAGAGGGUGAUCGGCCACAUUGGAACUGAGACACGGUCCAAACUCCUACGGGAGGCAGCAGUGGGGAAUAUUGCACAAUGGGCGAAAGCCUGAUGCAGCAACGCCGCGUGAGCGAUGAAGGCCUUCGGGUCGUAA